CAAUCAAAUUCUAUUUUAAAUUCUUGAUUGAAUAAAUUGACUGUUGCACUUCCUUGAAAUUAAGUCUGUUUGCGUUGCAUAAAAUCAAAAUAUUUUUGCAAUUAAAAAUGAGACAGAUAUAUAUUUUGCCUUGACAAGAGAGAAAGCAAAGAUGUCGACUGCCAAAAAUACAAAUGAUGCUCAUGAGCGUUGUUAGUAUGAAUGGACCACGGCCUAGAUCAAGCAUGCUGGAGCAUGCCGCGUACUUCAAACAGAUGCUUCACGACACGUUUGUCGAGAAUCCAUUUCAGUUUUGAUAACCUGCAAGGGGCUUCUUCGCUGACUGCUGAACUCAUUUUGAUUAAGAAUAUACAAUUUUUUGCUGAUAAGGAUUCCAAAGAGAAUUGAAAUGUUUAAGAUUUCGGAAUAAAGAAGAGCUCAUAUAUCACACACAAAUAA
Trachymyrmex septentrionalis is the source of this 438-nucleotide long non-coding RNA. RefSeq lists it as uncharacterized. The transcript is spliced from 3 exons. Lineage: Eukaryota; Metazoa; Arthropoda; Insecta; Hymenoptera; Formicidae. The record is from RefSeq and is a predicted model, not a curated record.